This 502-nucleotide small RNA is filed under the name Pongo abelii (Sumatran orangutan). RNAcentral's name for it is "processed transcript". Lineage: Eukaryota; Metazoa; Chordata; Mammalia; Primates; Hominidae. The record is from RNAcentral.
GACGUCGGCGUUGCUGGGAGAAUGCGCCAUUCCUGCCCUGCCUCCACCCACCUCGGGAGCAGAAGCCUGGCCUGGACACCCCUCGAAGGAGAGGGCGCUUCCUUGAUGACUAGGCUAUUUUUGCCCACUGUAAAAGGCACUCUCAUCCUGGUAUCAAGAUCCCGGAGAGGCCAGAUUUGAAAGACGUGGAUGACGAUGGGGAAGAUGUCCAUCCUGUGCAGGGCGCAGACACUGUCCAGCCGGACGUCCAGGAGGGCGUGGGUGUUCUUUGCGGGAGGGAGAGGGAGAAGUGAAUCAAGAUCACGGGCUUUGGAGGAAGCAAAGGGAGCCCACGCCCAGGUCGGAAGGGCCCUCCGGACAGGCUGAGGGCAGGGCAGGAGCUGGGCAGAGCUGAAUUUUGUAGAGAAGAUGGGUGAAGAGAGCUUGCCACUUCUCUCUUUUUUUUUUUUUUGAGACAGAGUCUCGCUCUGUUGCCCAGGCUGGAGUGCGGUGGCGCGAUCUC